This 305-nucleotide ribosomal RNA is filed under the name uncultured bacterium. RNAcentral's name for it is "bacterial SSU rRNA". It matches the Rfam family "Bacterial small subunit ribosomal RNA", at positions 337 to 659 of the family's 1533-position model. The record is from RNAcentral.
CCCUACGGGGCGCAGCAGUGGGGAAUAUUGCACAAUGGGGGGAACCCUGAUGCAGCGACGCCGCGUGAGCGAAGAAGUAUCUCGGUAUGUAAAGCUCUAUCAGCAGGGAAGAAAAUGACGGUACCUGACUAAGAAGCUCCGGCUAAAUACGUGCCAGCAGCCGCGGUAAUACGUAUGGAGCAAGCGUUAUCCGGAUUUACUGGGUGUAAAGGGAGCGCAGGCGGCGCGCCAAGUCUGGUGUGAAACCCCGGGGCUCAACCCCGGGACUGCAUUGGAAACUGGCGUGCUGGAGUGUCGGAGGGGCG